AAUUAGUAAAGGAACCAUUGCGCUAUCCACGAACAAGAGGAUUGGAUUGGUAAACACCAUUUCGUGCGUUUAGUUGAGCACCAUUCUCGGGAUUUGGUCCGAGCCCCUGUCCGACAGGCCCGGUGGACCCCUUCCCCUUGGAAGCGUCUUUCAGCCCAGUGUGUCAGUCAGAAUGGGACAAUAGCUGCAGUCGCCAUCGGACCUCCCCCUUUCUCUCCUUGUCUGCCCCGUCCCCACACCCUUCCCCUAACACUCACACAUAUAUACACACUCACACACACACACAGACCCAGCCAGUCCCUGACCACUCCUCCCACUGUACUGGUUUUGGUCCACUCCCUCUUCUACCUCUCUAGGCAGCCAGCCUUGUCAAGCCAAACGAAACCAUAAUCCUCUGUAAAAGAUAGGCAGCUGUAUAGGCCCCUAUCCUCCCUUUGUUGGUGGCUUUGUUUAAAGGGCUUCCAUGAGAGUAGCGGCUAGAGAACACAAGACCGCACCCAGUCAGCCGUUUUACUGGAAACAAACGAGCAGUGGUGGUGGUUGGGACACUGAUGGAAUUCUAGUAGCAUGAUGUUGGGCUGGCAUCGCCACCACACGCCAUCGAUGAACCAGAGGGCCACCAGCAGACUUUGGAGAUCGACACAUCUCAACUUGUGGUGGGACAAGAGGUUGAAAUAAAAACAUUCAUUUUUUUCAGGAUAUUUCUUUUGCCUCAUUUUUUUUGCUUCUCCAGUGAUCAGCUAAACCAAAGUGCCUUUAUUGGUUUCUCACUGCUUUUACUAUAAACUUGAUCUAACUUCAAAUUACACUCCAAUAUCUGAAAAGAAUAUCUAAAAGAAACAUUUCAAGGAUUUUGCACUUUUCAUUCACACACCUCCAUACCCAUUGCCUGUUGCACUUGUCAUAUCAUACAGUUGCACAGUACUGACAGUGCACACUUGUUUACAGUAAAAACAUACACCUCCGUACCGACUUGACAAUCCCACCCCGUAUUUCACCUAACCACAGCGUUCCUCUAGUGUAGGUUGCUAGGACUAACGAAGCCAAACAUAUCACCAAACCGCUC
Long non-coding RNA from Salmo trutta (river trout), 1066 nucleotides. The record is from Ensembl. Lineage: Eukaryota; Metazoa; Chordata; Actinopteri; Salmoniformes; Salmonidae.